RNAcentral lists this ribosomal RNA (253 nucleotides) under uncultured bacterium. Its description in RNAcentral is "partial 16S ribosomal RNA". It matches the Rfam family "Bacterial small subunit ribosomal RNA", at positions 524 to 776 of the family's 1533-position model. The record is from RNAcentral.
UACGUAGGGGGCAAGCGUUGUCCGGAAUCAUUGGGCGUAAAGCGCGCGUAGGCGGCCCGGUAAGUCGGGUGUGAAAUCUCGGAGCUUAACUCCGAAACUGCAUUCGAUACUGCCGUGCUUGAGGACUGGAGAGGAGACUGGAAUUUACGGUGUAGCGGUGAAAUGCGUAGAUAUCGUAAGGAAGACCAGUGGCGAAGGCGGGUCUCUGGACAGUUCCUGACGCUGAGGCACGAAGGUCAGGGGAGCAAACGGG